This is a long non-coding RNA of Vicia villosa (hairy vetch), 1809 nucleotides long. RefSeq lists it as uncharacterized. The record is from RefSeq and is a predicted model, not a curated record. The transcript is spliced from 3 exons. Lineage: Eukaryota; Viridiplantae; Streptophyta; Magnoliopsida; Fabales; Fabaceae.
ACAGCCCUUAUUCACAAAAGCGCUUUCGUAGGUUUGGUUAAAAACAAAAUAAAAAACACGCUAGAAAAGCGCUCUUAAAGGGGGGGAAAUGAAAGCGCUUUUCAAAAGCGCUCUUAUAGGAGGUGGGUAUGAAAGCGCUUUCCAAAAGCGCUCUUAAAGGGUGGGUUAUGACAGCGCUUUUCAAAAGCGCUCUUAUAGGGGUCUUAUAGGGGGUGGAUAUGAAAGCGCUUUUGAAAGCGCUCUUAAAGGGGGGGGUUACGAAAGCGCUUUUAAAGAGAAAGCGCUGGUAUAGAGUGGCCUAUGAAAGCGCUUCUGAAAAGCGCUCUUGUAGCCCUCAUUAAAAUAAAAUUAAUUAACUAACAGAAUAAAAAUAGGGUUUGUGUUGGUCAAAACACGUUCUUUUCUUCUCCUCAACACAAGAACGACGCCCUUCAUCUUCAACAAAACUGUGGCGGCUUCUCUCUUCCUUUGAUCGUCUUCCUCUUCUUCUCCGAUCAAUCACCGGUGACUUAAACCCUCUUUCGAUUUCGUUCUCUUUGUCUGACGUGAAUCUCCGUUCGUCCGCUUCUUUCUUCACAACAAAUCUAUCACAAUUAUCAUCUUCAGGAAAUUUUCAUCUAAGCUUCAUUGGGUUGUGAAAAACCCAGGGUGUGUUCUUAGGAGAAUUGUUUUUAGUGCUAUGGAAACUGAUGAAUGAGGUUUCUGGAUUACUACUUUUAGGUUUGUGUUUAUGAUUUUGAUGAAGAUGAUGGUUGUUCUGAGUAGCUGGAUUUUCAGUUAUCAUGUUUUUGUUAGUUUCUUGUUGCUGAUUAGUUCUGGUAUAAGCUAUGGGACUGAAACUGAUAUCUUCUGUUUGAAAGCUAUAAAAAAUUCUAUCAAAGAUCCGAAUAAUUCUGUUGUGAUGGAGUGUUUUGUUAUGCAGAUUAAACGAAGAAUUCUUUUCGGAAUUAAAAUCUGAGUUAGGGCAGAUUCUAUUUGCGGUUAACAAAACCCCGGUUGGUUGGUUUCUGAUUUGUGUUUUGUUGGUUAUAUUUUCUGUUGAACAUAUUGUUUUAGUGUUUGGCCUUUUUUGAUGGUUUUUUCAGGCUAUGGAGGAUAAAUUGGCCUUUUCUAAGUGAAUGUGAUAUUUGCGGUUAACACUAAUUACGUUUUUCUAUUGUAGGUUGAGCUUCAAAGUUUACUUCUAAGUUUAAUGUGAAUGUUGUGUAAAUAAUCACGUUUUUCUAUUGUAGGUUGAGCUUCAAACAGUGGAUGGAUUGGUAAAGGAUAGAACACAAUGUGCCCCUUCCGAUUAUGUUCCACAGAAUAUGAAUCAAGUAAUGUACCCCGAAGUCGUCUUCUGUGGCAGGAUCGUUCGGGGUACAGUUAUUUGAUUCAUAUUCUGUGACACAAUACAACAUAGCUCAUGUGACUACUGGUUCUCCACUAAAGCAUCAAUACAACAUAGCUCCAGAUAAUACAGGAAGCGUACAUUGGUUGCAUAAGAACUCGGAAGUUGUUUCCCAUUUAGUUGUUUUGGUUUAGAAAUAUGUGAAUUGGUUUAGUUGUUUUGGUUUAGAAAUAUGUAUAUAUGUAUUUUGAUUUACAUUAAUGGUAUAUAAUAUAAUACUUUUUUUGUAUAUAAUCGAUAUCGAUUAUAAUGGUAUAUAUCGAUUUGAAAUGAUAAAUUAUAGGUUCAUGAAAAAAUACUGCCAAAAAAUAGUAAAUUACAGGUUCUAAAAUAUUGCUGCCAAAAAGUGCAGGUUUAGAAAUAAUAAAAAGCAUAAAAAAAAAAAAAAACGUAACAUACGAAAGCGCUUUUGAAAAAAG